RNAcentral lists this ribosomal RNA (577 nucleotides) under Klebsiella quasivariicola. RNAcentral's name for it is "bacterial SSU rRNA". It matches the Rfam family "Bacterial small subunit ribosomal RNA", at positions 1 to 569 of the family's 1533-position model. Lineage: Bacteria; Pseudomonadati; Pseudomonadota; Gammaproteobacteria; Enterobacterales; Enterobacteriaceae. The record is from RNAcentral.
AAAUUGAAGAGUUUGAUCAUGGCUCAGAUUGAACGCUGGCGGCAGGCCUAACACAUGCAAGUCGAGCGGUAGCACAGGGAGCUUGCUCUCGGGUGACGAGCGGCGGACGGGUGAGUAAUGUCUGGGAAACUGCCUGAUGGAGGGGGAUAACUACUGGAAACGGUAGCUAAUACCGCAUAACGUCGCAAGACCAAAGUGGGGGACCUUCGGGCCUCAUGCCAUCAGAUGUGCCCAGAUGGGAUUAGCUAGUAGGUGGGGUAACGGCUCACCUAGGCGACGAUCCCUAGCUGGUCUGAGAGGAUGACCAGCCACACUGGAACUGAGACACGGUCCAGACUCCUACGGGAGGCAGCAGUGGGGAAUAUUGCACAAUGGGCGCAAGCCUGAUGCAGCCAUGCCGCGUGUGUGAAGAAGGCCUUCGGGUUGUAAAGCACUUUCAGCGGGGAGGAAGGCGGUGAGGUUAAUAACCUUACCGAUUGACGUUACCCGCAGAAGAAGCACCGGCUAACUCCGUGCCAGCAGCCGCGGUAAUACGGAGGGUGCAAGCGUUAAUCGGAAUUACUGGGCGUAAAGCGCA